This 253-nucleotide ribosomal RNA is filed under the name uncultured bacterium. Its description in RNAcentral is "partial 16S ribosomal RNA". It matches the Rfam family "Bacterial small subunit ribosomal RNA", at positions 524 to 776 of the family's 1533-position model. The record is from RNAcentral.
GACGAACCGAGCGAACGUUGUUCGGAAUCACUGGGCUUAAAGGGCGCGUAGGCGGCUUGCCAAGUCAGGGGUGAAAUUUUGCGGCUUAACCGUAACAGUGCCUUUGAUACUGGCAGGCUAGAGGGAGACAGGGGUCCGCGGAACUUCUGGUGGAGCGGUGAAAUGCGUUGAUAUCAGAAGGAACGCCGGUGGCGACAGCGGCGGACUGGAUCUUUUCUGACGCUGAGGCGCGAAAGCUAGGGGAGCAAACGGG